CCUACGGGUGGCAGCAGUGAGGAAUAUUGGUCAAUGGGCGGGAGCCUGAACCAGCCAAGCCGCGUGAGGGAAGCAGGUACCGCGUAUUGUAAACUUCUUUUGUCAGGGAACAAAAUCGGGGUCUAGUCCCUGGCUGAGGGUACUUGAAGAAAAAGCAUCGGCUACCUCCGUGCCAGCAGCCGCGGUAAUACGGAGGAUGCGAGCGUUAUCCGGAUUUAUUGGGUUAAAGGGGUGCGAAGGCGGCCUGUUAAGUCAGCGGUAAAAGCCCGGGGCUCAACCCCGGCGAGCCGUUGAAACUGGCGGGCUUGAGUUGGAGAGAGGUACGCGGAAUGCGCGGUGUAGCGGUGAAAUGCUUAGAUAUCGCGCAGAACCCCGAUUGCGAAGGCAGCGUACCGGCUCCACACUGACGCUGAGGCACGAAAGCGUGGGUAUCGAACAGGAUUAGAUACCCGAGUAGUC
RNAcentral lists this ribosomal RNA (459 nucleotides) under uncultured bacterium. Its description in RNAcentral is "partial 16S ribosomal RNA". It matches the Rfam family "Bacterial small subunit ribosomal RNA", at positions 338 to 795 of the family's 1533-position model. The record is from RNAcentral.